Aedes aegypti (yellow fever mosquito) is the source of this 1074-nucleotide long non-coding RNA. RefSeq lists it as uncharacterized. NCBI's taxonomy places the organism in Eukaryota, Metazoa, Arthropoda, Insecta, Diptera, Culicidae. The transcript has 3 exons. The record is from RefSeq and is a predicted model, not a curated record.
AAACGUAGAUCAUCAGACAUCACAGCGUCCAAUCCCUCUCGCACACUGAAUCAACCGAUUGCUAUGCCUCCCAAGCGAGCACACACUCUCUCACCAAGGCACAUUGUAUUGUGUAGUAUUGCAAAACUCGAAAGUGGACAAUAGAAUAGCCAGAAUGCUUUCUAUAGACCUGGCGAAUGGUUGGGUUUUGCCGGUGCAAGCUAAUUAGUGCAUGAAAUUAUAAAAGUUUCUAUCAGCUAAAGAUCGUCCUGCGAAGUGAUAAGUGCACGAUUAUCCAGUUACGAAAGGUAAUUGAUGUGAAUCCGAUCCUUAUAGCAGCACUAAUAGCGACAAAUCAUUUGCACAGACGAACAACCUCAUGCCAACCAUGUGCUGAUUCGGCCGGAGUUCAUCUCGCCAUCCUUCGCCAUAAGGUAAAAUGAAUCUAGAAAAAUCAUGCCUCCAUAUGCUCACAAGUCCCACAGUUCUUUCGCAUGACCCAUUCGCGCAACGCGAUACCCUGGACAGUACAAGACGCCUCUUCGAUCUCGGUGUAUCGGAUGCACCAGGGUGCAAUAGUCUCCAAGGCCUAUAAGCAGAACCAGUUCCAGUCUGCCUGCAUGAUCAACGUUUAGCAAUCUCGAAGUACACGAGACAAUAAUAAGGCCUUCAACAGAAGGCCUUUUAUUUGCAGCCUGAAGCGUCCCACAGACCCGAAAGGAACCCUAGCUCGUAGCCAGGCACCCGGCUGUCCACGCUCCGCGUCUCCACAGCAACGCCCAUUCGCAAACCGCAUAUCGCGCAGAAGUGCAUCGGUGUCGCACACAUCUGAAACGGUGUCGUAUACACCAUACGAUCGAGGUUCGCGAGAGAGGCAUGCAACAAAGGCUUGCGACCUCGUAGGAGAUAGUGUCACACGAGUGCAUUGGUUGAGUCGGAAAAAAAGGCGUGACGUGCAUCAGUGUCACGUCGGUGUAGUGCAGUCGGACUUGCGACAAUUGGUUGUUGCAUGACAUUUUGAGCCGAGAGAAAGUGCAUCCAUGGAACAGAGCAGUCAAACCCUCUUGCUAAAGGGCGAAACAUCAGUCGGUGUGA